This 123-nucleotide small RNA is filed under the name Sinorhizobium meliloti 2011. RNAcentral describes it as "putative ncRNA". The record is from RNAcentral. Lineage: Bacteria; Pseudomonadati; Pseudomonadota; Alphaproteobacteria; Hyphomicrobiales; Rhizobiaceae.
GUCAGCCCGUUCAACGUCUUGAGGCGACGCCCGAAAUUGUAGGCUUUGAUGAAGUCCUGAAGGUGCUGGCGGAGUUGAUCGUGGUCGUCAUAGUGGAACCGCUUGACGGUGGCCUCCUUGAUC